GCCACUAUAGCUCAGUUGGUAGAGCAAUUGAUUUGUAAUCAAUAGGUCACGGGUUCGAAUCCUGUUAGUGGCUCCA
Molecule: transfer RNA, 76 nt
Filed under: Methanobacteriota archaeon
Lineage: Archaea; Methanobacteriati; Methanobacteriota
Description: Euryarchaeota archaeon tRNA-Thr
Rfam family: tRNA
About the family: Transfer RNA (tRNA) molecules are approximately 80 nucleotides in length. Their secondary structure includes four short double-helical elements and three loops (D, anti-codon, and T loops). Further hydrogen bonds mediate the characteristic L-shaped molecular structure. tRNAs have two regions of fundamental functional importance: the anti-codon, which is responsible for specific mRNA codon recognition, and the 3' end, to which the tRNAs corresponding amino acid is attached (by aminoacyl-tRNA synthetases). tRNAs cope with the degeneracy of the genetic code in two manners: having more than one tRNA (with a specific anti-codon) for a particular amino acid; and 'wobble' base-pairing, i.e. permitting non-standard base-pairing at the 3rd anti-codon position.
Source: RNAcentral